GGACGGGACCGGGGGCAACUCCGGUUCAGUGGCAGAUGGGUGCGUAACACGUGAGGAACUUGUCCAACGGUGGGGGAUAGCCGGCCCAACGGCCGGGUAAUACCGCAUACGCUCGUUCGGGGGCAUCUCUGGACGAGGACAGCAGCCGCAAGGUUGCGCCGAUGGAGAGCCUCGCGACCUAUCAGCUAGUUGGCGGGGUAAUGGCCCACCAAGGCGACGACGGGUAGCUGGUCUGAGAGGAUGGCCAGCCACAUUGGGACUGAGACACGGCCCAGACUCCUACGGGAGGCAGCAGUGGGGAAUAUUGCGCAAUGGCCGCAAGGCUGACGCAGCGACGCCGCGUGUGGGAUGACGGCCUUCGGGUUGUAAACCACUGUCGGGAGGGACGAAUACGGGGCCUCGAAUAGGGGACCCUGGGUGACGGUACCUCCAAAGGAAGCACCGGCUAACUCCGUG
Molecule: ribosomal RNA, 456 nt
Filed under: uncultured bacterium
Lineage: Bacteria
Description: bacterial SSU rRNA
Rfam family: Bacterial small subunit ribosomal RNA
Source: RNAcentral